Molecule: ribosomal RNA, 405 nt
Filed under: uncultured bacterium
Lineage: Bacteria
Description: partial 16S ribosomal RNA
Rfam family: Bacterial small subunit ribosomal RNA
Source: RNAcentral
GAUGAACGCUGGCGGCGUGCUUAACACAUGCAAGUCGAACGAGUGGCGAACGGGUGAGUAACACGCGGGUGAUCUGCCUCCUACUUCGGGAUAAGCCUGGGAAACUGGGUCUAAUACCGGAUAGUACGAGAUGAGCCGGCGGCCUAUCAGCUUGUUGGUGGGGUAAUGGCUACCAAGGCGCGACGGGUAGCCGGCCUGAGAGGGUGUACGGCCACAUGGGGACGGAGACACGGCCCAGACGCCUACGGGAGGCAGGAGUGGGGAAUAUUGCACAAUUGGAGGAAGCCUGAUGCAGCGAUGCCGCGUGGGGGAUGACGGCCUUCGGGUUGUAGACCUCUUUCGCUAGGGAAGCGGUACCUGGAUAAGAAGCACCGGCUAACUACGUGCCAGCCGCCGCGGUAAUAC